Molecule: ribosomal RNA, 273 nt
Filed under: uncultured bacterium
Lineage: Bacteria
Description: partial 16S ribosomal RNA
Rfam family: Bacterial small subunit ribosomal RNA
Source: RNAcentral
GACGUAGGAUCCGAGCGUUGUCCGGAGUUACUGGGCGUAAAGGGCGCGCAGGCGGUCACGCGCAUCGGCGGUGAAAGCCCCCCGCUCAACGGGGGAGGGUCCGUCGAGAUGGCGUGUCUGGAGGCAGGGAGAGGCCAGUGGAAUUCCGGGUGUAGUGGUGAAAUGCGUAGAGAUCCGGAGGAACACCAGUGGCGAAGGCGGCUGGCUGGACCUGACCUGACGCUGAGGCGCGAAGGCGUGGGGAGCGAACGGGAUUAGAAACCCCAGUAGUCC